This 433-nucleotide ribosomal RNA is filed under the name uncultured bacterium. RNAcentral describes it as "partial 16S ribosomal RNA". It matches the Rfam family "Bacterial small subunit ribosomal RNA", at positions 29 to 507 of the family's 1533-position model. The record is from RNAcentral.
AACGAACGCUGGCGGCAUGCCUAACACAUGCAAGUCGAACGAGACCUUCGGGUCUAGUGGCGCACGGGUGCGUAACGCGUGGGAACCUGCCCUUAGGUUCGGAAUAACUCCCCGAAAGGGGUGCUAAUACCGGAUAAUGUCUUCGGACCAAAGAUUUAUCGCCUUUGGAUGGGCCCGCGUUGGAUUAGCUAGUUGGUAGGGUAAAAGCCUACCAAGGCGACGAUCCAUAGCUGGUCUGAGAGGAUGAUCAGCCACACUGGGACUGAGACACGGCCCAGACUCCUACGGGAGGCAGCAGUGGGGAAUAUUGGACAAUGGGCGAAAGCCUGAUCGAGCAAUGCCGCGUGAGUGAUGAAGGCCUUAGGGUUGUAAAGCUCUUUUACCCGGGAUGAUAAUGACAGUACCGGGAGAAUAAGCACCGGCUAACUCCGUG